Molecule: non-coding RNA, 570 nt
Organism: Podarcis lilfordi (Lilford's wall lizard)
Lineage: Eukaryota; Metazoa; Chordata; Lepidosauria; Squamata; Lacertidae
Source: the annotation of a GenBank genome assembly
GGAUUGGAAAGCUCUGAAACGCAUAGCGCGGUAUUUGAAAGGCACUAUGCAUUACAGACUGAGAUUUAACAAUCAGAAGUCUGGUGGUCUUGAGAUAUUUGCAGAUGCAAGUUUUGGAAGUGACGCUACAGACAGGAAAAGUACGUCUGGAGUUUGCUACAUGUACAAUCAGGGUCUGUUUGAUUGGUCAUGCAAGAAGCAAACAACAGUUAGCUUAAGUACUUGUGAAGCUGAACUGAAUGCACUGUCUUAUUCACUUAAGGAUUGUGAAUGGUUAGUACAAUUGUGCAAAGAUAUGAAAAUUCCUGUCAAAUGUCCAGUCCAGGUUUACCAGGACAACAAAGCAUGUUUGGCUUUGCUGAAGUCUGAAGGUUGUAAGCAAAGCACAAAGCACUUGCAAUUAAAGUUGCAACAUGCUAGGGAAUGUAUUCAGAAGGGACUCGUAACGGUGUCCUAUAUGCCAGGUAAUGAAAUUCCUGCUGAUGUAUUGUCCAAGAUUGUAUCGAGGGAUCAACACUGUACCUAUGUGCAGAAGUUGGGUUUGUACUGAUAUUGUACAAACACGCUGCC